AAGGAGGGUGUGAUGGUUUGCAUAUGCUUGGCCCAGGGAGUGGCACUAUUAGAAGGUGUGGCCUUGUUGGAGGAAGUGUGUCACUGUGGGGUGGUCUUGGAGACCUUCCUCCUAGCUGCCUGGGGAUGCUCAAUCUGUUCCUGGCUUCCUUUGGGUGAAGAUGUAAAACUCUCAGCUCCUCCUGUACCAUGUCUGUCUGGAUGCAGCCAUGUUCCUGCCUAGAUGAUAAUGGACUGAACCUCUGAACCUGUAAACCAGCACCAAUUAAAUGUCCUUUAUAAAACUUACAUUGGUCAUGGUGUCUGUUCACAGCAAUAAAACCGUAACAACGAGACAGUGACCUGAGAAUGGUUGCAUCCAUUAGCACUCCCAUGGAUUGGGUUUCAGGAGCCGUGCCUGCUCCCUGUUGUGGGAUAUUUGAU
Molecule: long non-coding RNA, 422 nt
Filed under: Rattus norvegicus (Norway rat)
Lineage: Eukaryota; Metazoa; Chordata; Mammalia; Rodentia; Muridae
Description: long non-coding RNA NONRATT006848
Source: RNAcentral